Molecule: ribosomal RNA, 463 nt
Filed under: uncultured bacterium
Lineage: Bacteria
Description: partial 16S ribosomal RNA
Rfam family: Bacterial small subunit ribosomal RNA
Source: RNAcentral
CUACGGGGGGCUGCAGUGGGGAAUAUUGCACAAUGGGCGCAAGCCUGAUGCAGCCAUGCCGCGUGUAUGAAGAAGGCCUUCGGGUUGUAAAGUACUUUCAGCGGGGAGGAAGGUAGUAAAGUUAAUACCUUUGCUCAUUGACGUUACCCGCAGAAGAAGCACCGGCUAACUCCGUGCCAGCGGCCGCGGUAAUACGGAGGGUGCAAGCGUUAAUCGGAAUUACUGGGCGUAAAGCGCACGCAGGCGGUUUGUUAAGUCAGAUGUGAAAUCCCCGGGCUCAACCUGGGAACUGCAUCUGAUACUGGCAAGCUUGAGUCUCGUAGAGGGGGGUAGAAUUCCAGGUGUAGCGGUGAAAUGCGUAGAGAUCUGGAGGAAUACCGGUGGCGAAGGCGGCCCCCUGGACGAAGACUGACGCUCAGGUGCGAAAGCGUGGGGAGCAAACAGGAUUAGAUACCCUGUAGUC